Molecule: ribosomal RNA, 424 nt
Filed under: uncultured bacterium
Lineage: Bacteria
Description: bacterial SSU rRNA
Rfam family: Bacterial small subunit ribosomal RNA
Source: RNAcentral
UGGGGAAUAUUGGACAAUGGGCGAAAGCCUGAUCCAGCAAUGCCGCGUGUGUGAAGAAGGUCUUCGGAUUGUAAAGCACUUUCGACGGGGACGAUGAUGACGGUACCCGUAGAAGAAGCCCCGGCUAACUUCGUGCCAGCAGCCGCGGUAAUACGAAGGGGGCUAGCGUUGCUCGGAAUGACUGGGCGUAAAGGGCGCGUAGGCGGCGUACACAGUCAGAAGUGAAAUUCCUGGGCUCAACCUGGGGACUGCUUUUGAUACGUGUGAGCUAGAGUGAGGAAGAGGGUUGUGGAAUUUCCAGUGUAGAGGUGAAAUUCGUAGAUAUUGGAAAGAACACCGGUGGCGAAGGCGGCAACCUGGUCCUUUACUGACGCUGAGGCGCGAAAGCGUGGGGAGCAAACAGGAUUAGAUACCCCCGUAGUCC